GAUGAAGAACGUAGCGAAAUGCGAUACUUGGUGUGAAUUGCAGAAUCCCGUGAACCAUCGAGUCUUUGAACGCAAGUUGCGCCCGAAGCCAUCAGGUUGAGGGCACGUCUGCCUGGGCGUCACAUAUCGUUGCCCAAUGCCUAUUGCCGUGCAAUAGGAAUUUCUAGGGCGAAUGAUGGCUUCCCGUGAGCGUUGUUGCCUCGCGGUUGGUUGAAAAUCGAGUCCUUGGUAGGGUGUGCCAUGGUAGAUGGUGGUCGAGUUAGAACGAUACCGAUCAUGUGCAUGCUCCCCAAAAUAUGGCCUCUAUGACCCACACGCGUCUUUUGACGCUCAUGACGAGACCUCAGGUCAGGCGGGGCUACCCGCUGAAUUUAAGCAUAUCAAUAAGCGGAGGA
This 395-nucleotide unclassified non-coding RNA is filed under the name soil metagenome. RNAcentral describes it as "partial contains 5.8S ribosomal RNA, internal transcribed spacer 2, and large subunit ribosomal RNA". The stretch from base 1 to 122 matches the Rfam family "5.8S ribosomal RNA", at positions 35 to 154 of the family's 154-position model. The record is from RNAcentral.